Molecule: ribosomal RNA, 484 nt
Filed under: uncultured bacterium
Lineage: Bacteria
Description: partial 16S ribosomal RNA
Rfam family: Bacterial small subunit ribosomal RNA
Source: RNAcentral
AUUGAACGCUGGCGGCAGGCCUAACACAUGCAAGUCGAGCGGAUGAAGUGAGCUUGCUCCUGGAUUCAGCGGCGGACGGGUGAGUAAUGCCUAGGAAUCUGCCUGGUAGUGGGGGAUAACGUCCGGAAACGGGCGCUAAUACCGCAUACGUCCUGAGGGAGAAAGUGGGGGAUCUUCGGACCUCACGCUAUCAGAUGAUCCUAGGUCGGAUUAGCUAGUUGGUGGGGUAAAGGCCUACCAAGGCGACGAUCCGUAACUGGUCUGAGAGGAUGAUCAGUCACACUGGAACUGAGACACGGUCCAGACUCCUACGGGAGGCAGCAGUGGGGAAUAUUGGACAAUGGGCGAAAGCCUGAUCCAGCCAUGCCGCGUGUGUGAAGAAGGUAUUCGGAUUGUAAAGCACUUUAAGUUGGGAGGAAGGGCAGUAAGUUAAUACCUUGCUGUUUUGACGUUACCAACAGAAUAAGCACCGGCUAACUUCGUG